AAGCUAAACGGAGGAACAUGGACG
Molecule: non-coding RNA, 24 nt
Filed under: Cricetulus griseus (Chinese hamster)
Lineage: Eukaryota; Metazoa; Chordata; Mammalia; Rodentia; Cricetidae
Source: RNAcentral